UUACCACUCUGGCCUUUUGGCUUAGAUCAAGUGUAGUAUCUGUUCUUAAUAGUUUAACCACUAUUAUGAGGGCACCGCCCUCAUUCUUUGGUUAUCAAAUUUUUGCCGCCCUUGAUCCCUGCGAGCUCUGCUUGCAACUCCAGGGACGUGAUGACCUUGCCACUGCAGUGCCGGCUCGUGUCGUCGGGGGAUC
This is a small nuclear RNA of Paxillus involutus ATCC 200175, 193 nucleotides long. It matches the Rfam family "U2 spliceosomal RNA". From Rfam's summary of the family: U2 is a small nuclear RNA (snRNA) component of the spliceosome (involved in pre-mRNA splicing). Complementary binding between U2 snRNA (in an area lying towards the 5' end but 3' to hairpin I) and the branchpoint sequence (BPS) of the intron results the bulging out of an unpaired adenosine, on the BPS, which initiates a nucleophilic attack at the intronic 5' splice site, thus starting the first of two transesterification reactions that mediate splicing. The record is from Rfam. Lineage: Eukaryota; Fungi; Basidiomycota; Agaricomycetes; Boletales; Paxillaceae.